RNAcentral lists this ribosomal RNA (463 nucleotides) under uncultured soil bacterium. Its description in RNAcentral is "bacterial SSU rRNA". It matches the Rfam family "Bacterial small subunit ribosomal RNA", at positions 26 to 506 of the family's 1533-position model. The record is from RNAcentral.
AGGACGAACGCUGGCGGCGUGCUUAACACAUGCAAGUCGAGCGGUAAGGCCUUUCGGGGUACACGAGCGGCGAACGGGUGAGUAACACGUGGGUGAUCUGCCCUGCACUCUGGGAUAAGCCUGGGAAACUGGGUCUAAUACCGGAUAUGACCUGCUCUCGCAUGGGGGUGGGUGGAAAGAUUUAUCGGUGCAGGAUGGGCCCGCGGCCUAUCAGCUUGUUGGUGGGGUAAUGGCCUACCAAGGCGACGACGGGUAGCCGACCUGAGAGGGUGACCGGCCACACUGGGACUGAGACACGGCCCAGACUCCUACGGGAGGCAGCAGUGGGAAUAUUGCACAAUGGGCGAAAGCCUGAUGCAGCGACGCCGCGUGAGGAUGAAGGCCUUCGGGUUGUAAACCUCUUUCAGCAGGACGAAGCGCAAGUGACGGUACCUGCGAGAAGAAGACACCGGACUAACUACGU